UACGAAGGGGGCUAGCGUUGCUCGGAAUGACUGGGCGUAAAGGGCGCGUAGGCGGUUUGUACAGUCAGAUGUGAAAUUCCUGGGCUCAACCUGGGGGCUGCAUUUGAUACGUAUGGACUGGAGUGAGGAAGAGGGUCGUGGAAUUCCCAGUGUAGAGGUGAAAUUCGUAGAUAUUGGGAAGAACACCGGUGGCGAAGGCGGCGACCUGGUCCUUUACUGACGCUGAGGCACGAAAGCGUGGGGAGCAAACAGG
RNAcentral lists this ribosomal RNA (253 nucleotides) under uncultured bacterium. Its description in RNAcentral is "partial 16S ribosomal RNA". It matches the Rfam family "Bacterial small subunit ribosomal RNA", at positions 524 to 776 of the family's 1533-position model. The record is from RNAcentral.